UCGAAUCACCCAUUUUUAUGAAAAUUCUCUGAUUUUUUUAACCAAGGUAUGAAUUGAUGCUUCCUUUUUGGGGUUCUAUGGAGCAAAAUUCUUUUCACUUUCUUAGUUAGAUAUUAUGAUUCUAUCUUGUAUUUCUUUAAAUUCUAUCUCUAUUAAUGUUUAUUUUGGUCUUUAUUAAGGGGAUUGGGGAUUGAAACUACAUUAUAGAGUUAGUUUGAUCAAGGUGGAAGAGUGUGUAAAUUGACUGGAAACUACAUCGGAGGAAUUGCAACUGGGUAAGUAUUACUGUUUCUUCAAUUUUGAUGCUUUGUUUCAGAUCUUUUUGAAGUGUAACCUGGUUGCUUCUUUGAUGAAAAUGUUUGUCCUUUCAUAAAGACAAUAGAUACUUAUUUAUUCAAAUUUUUAUUUAGCUGUCAGAAAAUUGAAUUAAACAAGAAGCAAUUUGUAGCCAGGUUGAACCAACAACUUGAAUAGGGAUUCUUCUUCAUGUUCUUUUUUCACUUGAAACUUUUAUAGUACUUCUUAAUGUUAGUGUAUGCGCUUUUAGGUCAAGAGGAAUUCUGCAAUCUAAGUUAUUUCAAAGUCGAAACGUUGCUACGGAAACUUUGAAUCUUGCAAGCUAAAGAAUUUUGCAUCUACAUUGGCUUGAAAACAUAAUACGAUUAGGAAUAAAAUAAGAGCUUUGUUUAGUGGAAUAUUUUGAUUAUAUUUGAAAGUUAAUUUUGUUGAAACCUUUCAAAUUGGAAAUGAUUAACAUGUCUCAGAAGUCGAGUCAUCCAAUUAUAAAAUAUCAGUUUAUCUCAUAAACAUUGAUAUGUUGUACUAGAGGCCUUGAACUUCUCUUUUGCAACUUGUCAAUCAAUGCAAACUUCUCCUAGAUGAAACAUAUGUAUCUUUAAAUUUAUAGCUCUCUAAUUUCUAUUUUUGCACUCCUUAGUUUUAGACUUCUUUAGUUGACAAUUGUUGUUUUCUUGGUUUUUGAAGGUAUAUCUAAACGUCUCGCUGCUAUAUGGUUUCUGAGAUAACAAAAGGUUGACUAUUAAGUUAGGUAUUGUAUCUCCAACACAUUUGAAAUGAUAUAUCAAAAAGACUUUGGAUUUUGAAGUUCCGAAAUGGAGUUAUAUGUCAUUAUUCAUUGUAGAGAAACUAGAAACUAUUGUUUUACGAAGGGGAAGAGCUUGUAAAUAAGUUGGCAAAGUUGGAAA
Molecule: long non-coding RNA, 1205 nt
Filed under: Solanum tuberosum (potato)
Lineage: Eukaryota; Viridiplantae; Streptophyta; Magnoliopsida; Solanales; Solanaceae
Description: long non-coding RNA (STUB_LNC010316)
Source: RNAcentral